RNAcentral lists this ribosomal RNA (465 nucleotides) under uncultured Klebsiella sp. RNAcentral's name for it is "bacterial SSU rRNA". It matches the Rfam family "Bacterial small subunit ribosomal RNA", at positions 338 to 795 of the family's 1533-position model. Lineage: Bacteria; Pseudomonadati; Pseudomonadota; Gammaproteobacteria; Enterobacterales; Enterobacteriaceae. The record is from RNAcentral.
CCUACGGGGGGCUGCAGUGGGGAAUAUUGCACAAUGGGCGCAAGCCUGAUGCAGCCAUGCCGCGUGUGUGAAGAAGGCCUUCGGGUUGUAAAGCACUUUCAGCGGGGAGGAAGGCGUUAAGGUUAAUAACCUUGUCGAUUGACGUUACCCGCAGAAGAAGCACCGGCUAACUCCGUGCCAGCAGCCGCGGUAAUACGGAGGGUGCAAGCGUUAAUCGGAAUUACUGGGCGUAAAGCGCACGCAGGCGGUCUGUCAAGUCGGAUGUGAAAUCCCCGGGCUCAACCUGGGAACUGCAUUCGAAACUGGCAGGCUAGAGUCUUGUAGAGGGGGGUAGGAUUCCAGGUGUAGCGGUGAAAUGCGUAGAGAUCUGGAGGAAUACCGGUGGCGAAGGCGGCCCCCUGGACAAAGACUGACGCUCAGGUGCGAAAGCGUGGGGAGCAAACAGGAUUAGAUACCCUAGUAGUC